This is a long non-coding RNA of Rhincodon typus (whale shark), 938 nucleotides long. RefSeq lists it as uncharacterized. The record is from RefSeq and is a predicted model, not a curated record. The transcript is spliced from 3 exons. Lineage: Eukaryota; Metazoa; Chordata; Chondrichthyes; Orectolobiformes; Rhincodontidae.
AGGCUGCAACACCAAGGAGGAAGCACACUGAACUAACCCCUGCUGACCGAACACCAUCUCUGUCAAAGGCACCUCAUCAUCACCGAUACUCCAGCUGCCGCCAUAGCCAGGAGACUGUCCCAACUCUCAUAGACUGCGGCCCAUUCUCAGCUUCCAAGGACCGACACACCAUCCAAAUGAACUCUCCAGGAUCAAAGGAUCAUUCACUCUGCUGCCUUUGCAGAUGCCGCCAAAAAACCAAAGGAAAAGAACCGGCCCCAAUCCAUCAAUGCUGGAACAGUUGCUGAAACCAUUACUACCAUGGCCAUGAGGAAUGGACUGGAUCCACCAUUCAACAGCUCCCUGCAACCUCUCUCUAACACCGCCCCCGCAGAAAGAAGAAAAAAUGAAUUUGAUUCAAAAGUUAAAUGAAGAAAAAAGAAAGGAUGUAAUCGGUCAUAUGAGAGGGAGUGGAUGGGCCAAGAGACUGAAUACUCCUACCUUGAUGUCUCUGCCAUCUCAAAAGAGUGGGGAUUUCUUCGCAUUGAAACAACCCAGCUUCUAAAGCCAUCUGAGGAAGGUCUCGAGACUAUCGAAGGAGCCAAAGCCACCUUAUAUGUGGACCAAGAGCAAUUCUAUGAUUCUGCAAGGCCUGCCCAGUGCUAGGAUAACUGGAUGAACACUGCAGGCCAAGCAGCAUCAGAGGAGCAGGAAGGCUGACGUUUCGGGCCUAGACGCUUCUUCAGAAAACCAGUGCUCAGUGCUAUUUGCCUUACGGGUAAAAGUAGAGGCCGAAAUCCGGAGGCUGGAAAGUGAGGGAAUCAUCAAACUCCAGUACAGUUGGCACAAUCGGCUGCACUGGUCAUGCCAGUUGUGAAGCCUGACUGGUUAGUACGCCUGUGUGGGGAUUUUAAAGAAAUGGUAAACAACCUCUUGCAGCUGGAUAAAUACCCAAACCC